GCUCAGGACGAACGCUGGCGGCGUGCCUAUACAUGCAAGUCGAGCGGACAGAUGGAGCUUGCUUCCNGAUGUUAGCGGCGGACGGGUGAGUAACACGUGGGNAACCUGCCUGUAAGACUGGGAUAANUCCGGGAAACCNGGGCUAAUACCNGAUGCUUGUUUGAACCGCAUGGUUCAAACAUAAAAGGUGGCUUCGGCUACCACUUACAGANGGNCCCGCGGCGNCAUUAGCUAGUUGGUGAGGUAACNGCUNACCNAAGGCAACGAUGCGUAGCCNACCNGAGANGGGNGAUCGGCCACACUGGGNCUGAGACACGGNCCAGACUNCUACGGGAGGCAGCAGUAGGGNAUCUUNCGCAAUGGACGAAAGUCUGACGGAGCAACNCCGCGUGAGUGAUGAAGGUUUUCGGAUCGUAAANCUCUGUUGUUAGGGAAGAACAAGUNCCGUUCGAAUAGGGNCGGUACCUUGACGGUACCUAACCAGAAAGCCACGGCUAACUACGUGCCAGCAGCCGCGGUAAUACGUAGGUGGCAAGNNCGUUGUCCNGGAANUUAUUGGGGCGGUAAAAGGGGCUNCGCANGGCNGGUUUNCUUNAAGUCUNAUGNNUNNNGAAAAGCCCCCCGNGCUCAACCCGNGGNNGAGGGUCAUUGGNAAACUGGGGGAACUUGAGGUGCAGAAGNAGGANGAGUGGNAAUUCCCCCGUGUANGCGGUGAAAUUCGUAGNAGAUGGUGGAGGGAACCCCCAGUGGCGAAGGGNGGCCUCUCUNGGUCUUUUAACUGACGCUGAGGAGCGAAAAGCGUGGGGAGCGGAACCGGAUUUAGAUACCCUUGUCGUCCCCGCCGUAAACGAUGAGUGCNUAAGUGUUAAGGGGUUUCCCCCCCUUAGGCNCCAGNUAACGCAUUAANCCCUCCCCCUGGGGAGUACGGUCGCAAGACUGAAACUCAAAGGAAUGACGGGGGCCCGCACAAGCGGGGAGCAUGUGGUUUAAUUCGAAGCAACGCGAAGAACCUUNCCAGGUCUUGNCAUCCUCUGACAAUCCUANAGAUAGGACGUCCCUUCGGGGGAGAGUGACAGGUGGUGCAUGGUUGUCGUCAGCCCGUGUCGUGAGAUGUUGGGUUAAGUCCCGCAACGACGCAACCUUGAUNUUAGUUGCCAGCAUUCAGUUGGGCACUNUAAGGUGCUGCCGGUGCAACCGGAGGAAGGUGGG
This 1209-nucleotide ribosomal RNA is filed under the name Bacillus subtilis. Its description in RNAcentral is "partial 16S ribosomal RNA". It matches the Rfam family "Bacterial small subunit ribosomal RNA", at positions 22 to 1177 of the family's 1533-position model. Lineage: Bacteria; Bacillati; Bacillota; Bacilli; Caryophanales; Bacillaceae. The record is from RNAcentral.